GGAAUUAGCUCAGUUGGUAGAGCGUCGGCUUCCCAAGCCGAAUGUCACGGGUUCGAGUCCCGCAUUCC
This 68-nucleotide transfer RNA is filed under the name uncultured Prevotella sp. It matches the Rfam family "tRNA". Rfam says of the family: Transfer RNA (tRNA) molecules are approximately 80 nucleotides in length. Their secondary structure includes four short double-helical elements and three loops (D, anti-codon, and T loops). The record is from RNAcentral. Lineage: Bacteria; Pseudomonadati; Bacteroidota; Bacteroidia; Bacteroidales; Prevotellaceae.